RNAcentral lists this long non-coding RNA (790 nucleotides) under Pelobates cultripes (western spadefoot toad). The record is from RNAcentral. Lineage: Eukaryota; Metazoa; Chordata; Amphibia; Anura; Pelobatidae.
GCCAGUUUAGAAAAUGCCAGCAGCAUGCACAAUAUCCACUAAUAGGGCAGGUAGUGUUGGGCAGGUGUACAGGAUAUAGAGCAGGUAGUGUUGGGCAGGUGUACAGAAUACAGAGCAGGUAGUGUUGGGCAGGUGUACAGGAUACAGAGCAGGUAUUGUUGGGCAGGUGUAUAGAAUACAGAGCAGGUAGUGUUGGACAGGUGUACAGGAUACAGAGCAGGUAGUGUUGGACAGGUGUACAGAAUACAGAGCAGGUAGUGUUGGAUAGGUGUACAGGAUAUAGAGCAGGUAGUGUUGGGCAGGUGUAUAGAAUACAGAGCAGGUAGUGUUGGGCAGGUGUACAGGAUACAGAGCAGGUAGUGUUGGACAGGUGUACAGGAUACAGAGCAGGUAGUGUUGGACAAGUGUACAGGAUAUAGAGCAGGGAGUGUUGGACAGGUGUGCAGGAUAUAGAGCAGGUAGUGUUGGACAGGUGUACAGGUGUACAGGAUACAGAGCAGGUAGUGUUGGACAGGUGUACAGGAUAUAAAGCCGGGAGUGGUGGACAGGUGGACAGGAUAUAAAGCCGGGAGUGGUGGACAGGUGUGCAGGAUACAGAGCAGGUAGUGCUGGACAGGUGUGUAGGAUACAGAGCAGGAAUGUUGCCGGAAUGCUAGUUUUGAGAAGCAGGGAUAUAGAAUGAGGAGCAGGGGAACAGGCUGGGGAGCAGUGGUACAGUCUAGAGAGCAUUGUCUAUGGCUAUGGGGAGGCUUAGAGGUAAAAUGAUCUCAGCAGUCACUUUGCAGACAAG